AGAGUUUGAUCCUGGCUCAGGACGAACGCUGGCGGCGUGCUUAACACAUGCAAGUCGAACGGUGAAGUCCCUUCGGGGGCGGAUCAGUGGCGAACGGGUGAGUAACACGUGGGCAAUCUGCCCCUCACUGUGGGAUAACUCCGGGAAACCGGGGCUAAUACCGCAUAUGAAGCCUGGCGGCAUCGCCGGGUUUGGAAAGUUUUUCGGUGAGGGAUGAGCCCGCGGCCUAUCAGCUUGUUGGUGAGGUAAUGGCUCACCAAGGCGACGACGGGUAGCCGGCCUGAGAGGGCGACCGGCCACACUGGGACUGAGACACGGCCCAGACUCCUACGGGAGGCAGCAGUGGGGAAUAUUGGGCAAUGGGCGAAAGCCUGACCCAGCGACGCCGCGUGC
This 393-nucleotide ribosomal RNA is filed under the name uncultured bacterium. RNAcentral's name for it is "bacterial SSU rRNA". It matches the Rfam family "Bacterial small subunit ribosomal RNA", at positions 8 to 404 of the family's 1533-position model. The record is from RNAcentral.